RNAcentral lists this ribosomal RNA (480 nucleotides) under Fusarium equiseti. RNAcentral describes it as "eukaryotic LSU rRNA". The stretch from base 156 to 309 matches the Rfam family "5.8S ribosomal RNA". Lineage: Eukaryota; Fungi; Ascomycota; Sordariomycetes; Hypocreales; Nectriaceae. The record is from RNAcentral.
AUCAUUACCGAGUUUACAACUCCCAAACCCCUGUGAACAUACCUAUACGUUGCCUCGGCGGAUCAGCCCGCGCCCUGUAAAAAGGGACGGCCCGCCCGAGGACCCUAAACUCUGUUUUUAGUGGAACUUCUGAGUAAAACAAACAAAUAAAUCAAAACUUUCAACAACGGAUCUCUUGGUUCUGGCAUCGAUGAAGAACGCAGCAAAAUGCGAUAAGUAAUGUGAAUUGCAGAAUUCAGUGAAUCAUCGAAUCUUUGAACGCCCAUUGCGCCCGCCAGUAUUCUGGCGGGCAUGCCUGUUCGAGCGUCAUUUCAACCCUCAAGCUCAGCUUGGUGUUGGGACUCGCGGUAACCCGCGUUCCCCAAAUCGAUUGGCUUUCACGUCGAGCUUCCAUAGCGUAGUAAUCAUACACCUCGUUCCUUUAAUCGUCGCGGCCACGCCGUAAAACCGCCAACUUCUGAAUGUUGACCUCGGAUCAGG